AUGAGAAGCCCCAGCGGCCACCGUCACGUGGGGAUAACAAGAUAUACACAAAAAAGUCAGGAAUUACACAGAUAUUGUUUGCUCUGCAGACCUGAGCUGCCUCUUAAGGGUGCUGAUUACACAGCCUUCUUCAUCUCAGCCUAUGUCCAGAUGGAUCACAGAAUCCUCACCACAAGGGAGCUGGCCAGCCUGACCUGGAAGGACCAUCCAGAAACUCAACCAAGGCACCACAGACUGCUGGGGAAAGGUUCUUGCUGUUUUAAAUAACAUGUCCAGGCCGGGCACAAUGGCUCACGCCAGUAAUCCCAGCACUUUGGGAGGCCGAGGAAGGCGGAUCA
This 338-nucleotide long non-coding RNA is filed under the name Homo sapiens (human). RNAcentral describes it as "HSALNT0292184". The record is from RNAcentral. Lineage: Eukaryota; Metazoa; Chordata; Mammalia; Primates; Hominidae.